Dermacentor andersoni is the source of this 3221-nucleotide long non-coding RNA. RefSeq lists it as uncharacterized. The record is from RefSeq and is a predicted model, not a curated record. NCBI's taxonomy places the organism in Eukaryota, Metazoa, Arthropoda, Arachnida, Ixodida, Ixodidae.
UACCUGCGUUGCAUCCUGUGGCUGGACCACUCCCACGAUCUCGGCAGAAUCGUUACACAGGAAGAAGUCUGGCUGGCCCCAAGCCUGGUGCAAAAUGAAGAAAUGGCACUCCACAUCAAUUCAUGUUUACUUGUCGUCAUAACCAGUCUGUUAGCUUAAUUUUUGGUUCUUCCUAUUGAAUUCUCAAGAAACGUACCAACUCUGUCAUUCACUCUGCAAACAAAUUUUUGCACUUGGGGAUGCAGCCAUGCACAAAGCCUUUGAGCUCAUUAAUAUCUUUAUUUUUUAAAGAAAGUGCAGCUGCUGCGUGGAGCAAUAGGUUGAAUAAGACAAGGGUAAAUGAAAAGAUGGCGAAAUUAGUCAUCAACAGUUGUCCAACAAAGGAAGUCUCAAGCUGGAGGCAACAUCUUUGCAAGAGAACCAAAUGGCUCCAGCCUGAGACAUUCGUUGUUCAACCUGGCAAGUCUCCUUCUCUAAAUAUUUCCUCUAGCCUGAGACCUAUAUCUAUUCCACCACCCUUGACCAACAAUACACCUAUACAUUUGGCAACCCAUGGAAAGGUAGCAAAUUCACAUUCAAGGAAAGGGAAUGUAGUGUGCACCCUGGAAGGUAGCAUGAACAGUAUUUUAUUUACUUAAUGAAAUGCAGAUGUGCUAUCCAAUUACUUUAUUUUGAUCCCCGUUUUAUAAUUGGACAGCAUGGUUCCUCAGAGAGAAUAAUAAUUCGAAGCUCACACAAUUUUGCUCCUUUAUGUCCGUUAAAUCUGUCCUGGUUGCUACACUAUCAGCCCUGUCUGCAAUUGCGUAGCAGUGUUUUGAGCAUGCAUCCAAAUUCAAAAGAAUAGUUAGGCUUCUACCUCAGAAUGUUUGCUACUGUGUUGCAGCUCGAAUUCUAUGUCUAGGUGGUCACUGUGAUGCCAUGUGCUUUUUAAAUAAGACCAAUAUGCUAUUUGAAGGGCAAUUAAAUGCAAUCUCAAAUGACCUCAGCUCGGGGAAUGACACAAUUGGAGGUCAAUGUGAUAAGGAGGAUUUGAUUUCUGAAAACAAGGCACUUAAACGGGAGAAAGCAUGACUAAUUUCGUAUAAAGAUGCUGCUUUUGGAUAUGAUCAGGGAAGGUACUUGUUCGUGACUGCAUUUGCAACAUGUUACAUUGCUGGCUUUAUAUAUUGCACUGGGUACAGUGAAAUGUUGCUGCUUGCACAAUAUUCAACUAAACAUGGUAGCCAUGCUAAUGUGUCCAUGCAGAACACAACUCAUCCACUAUUAUGGACUACAGUGGAAUCUCAAUAAACGAAAAUCGCUUCGAAACUGCCGCUUAAAUAGGACACUAUCCUGAUAAUUGGUUGGCUCUCUGCAAUGUCUCUCAGUAAAUAUAAUGCCUGGUAAAUGGAACCAAUUUCCCUGGCACCUUGAGGCUCCAUUUAAAGAGCACCCACUGUAAAAAUAUAGGGGGGAUCGUGUUUGGAACUUUCGUAAAUGUAGUCUUAAACAAAACCGCAUUUCAGUGGGAGCGAAAUGCAAAAGCACCUGUGUACUUAGACAGGUGCAUGUUAAAGAACCCCAGGUUGUCCAAAUUAAUUCGGGUUACUCGCUAUGGCAUGUGUCAUAAUCAGAAGGUGGGUUCUGGUUCAUAAAAUACAAUAAUUUUUAAUAGCUUGCUCAGAAAUCCAGCACUAAAUUAUGUAGCUUGUUUGUGUGAUGAGUCCCAAUUUCUUAAUUUAGUACUUUGACAUUUAUCAUAUUUGUGUGCUAGUCCAUGCAAAAUACCACUGAUCGGCCUCAUUAUACCAGCCACUGUUAAUUAGGAAUGGCUUAGUCAAGCAACUUAAACUUACAGCACAAACACCUAAGACGAACCACAAAAGGAAGAUACGACACACACUGGUGCUAACUUCUUUAUUUCUUCGUCGUCGAUGCAAUAUAAACCCUAGGCCACACUACCGCGCAGGCACUCAGAUUACAUUACAGAGAUCUGCCAAAUUAUCACAUACGCAAGCGUAGGAAGUCAAAUUCAGAUGGAUGCAGGGACAAAGAUAUCUUACUAAUGCAAUUAUCGCCCUGCCUUUCUUGUGGUAAGCCUCUAAGGCAAGCCGCACAUGCUCAUUCUUGCUUUUGCAAAGAAUCGACGUCCCAUCAAGUUGUGCCUCACAAUUGUUGCAAGAGUUUAUAUGCGCACCAAGGUGCGCUCCUCUAUCUACAUUUUUGUUUACUUGUUGCGCAUGUUCCCUGAGUCGCUCAUUGAUGCAAUGCCCUAUCUAGCCAAGCUAUGUCUUAGCACAUGAGAGUGAAUUGUAUAAACCACGCCGACCGCGCACAACACGUAUGAAGCAUCAUGCCGAAUUCGGCGUCCUCCUCUGCCCUCUCCGCAGGUGCGGGAGCAUAGCUAGGAACACUAUGCCUGCAAGCAAUUUUCUUGAGUUGAUAGAUGACCUUAUGUGUUUAAGGGACCGCGCAGGGAACAUGCACAAAAAGUAAACAAAAAUGUAGAUAGAAGAGUGCACAUUGUUGCGCAUAUAAACUCUUGCAAAAAUUGUGAGGCAUGACUUGAUGGGACGUCGAUUCUUGGCAAAAGCAUGAAUGAGCUUGCGCGGCUUGCCUUAGAGGCCUACGACAUAAAAAGGCAAAAUGAUAAUUGCAUCAGUGACAUAGCUUUGUCCCUGCACCCAUCUGAAUUUGAGUUCCUACGUUUGCAUAUGUGAUAAUUUGGGAGAUCUCUGUAAUGUAAUGUGUGCGCCUGUGCAGUUGUGUGGCCUAGGGCAUAUAUAUGCAUUGACGACGAAGAAAUAAAGAAGUCAGUUAGUGCCAGCGUGUGUCGUAUCUGCCUUUUGCGGUUCGUCUUAGGUGUUUGCGCUGUAAGUUUUAAGUUCAGAAUUAUGUGCCAACUAGGCCAAAUGAAGUUUUACUCUUAGUCAAGCGAGCUCAAUAUACAGUCUGUGCAAAAGUGUGGAGCGUCAGUACAAAGUAACAGUUCAAACACAUGGCUCUGUAGUUACAGUUCAGUAUGAAACGAGAUAAGAUUUCUUAGCAUUUCUUUCAUUUACUAAUUUCAUUGUAUUAGGACAUGUAGAAUACUAGCAACUGGCAUGCUUACAAUGUACAGUGCUCUUUUUUAAAAUCCAGACAAUUGUUUUACUGGGGCAGAAAUGUGCUUUCUUUUGGGCCCGGAAGUGAACAUAUUAUAUUUCUUACAUUUGGUGUAAAAUAAAUUUUCUUCACUGUCA